UCACACAAUUUAUUCGACCAUCUCCUUUUGUUCAGGCAUUAGCGGAGGGGUCUCAGUCGUGGAAAAAGCGCCAAGUUCUACAGCUGAAGACGCGGUUGUCAACUUUGUGUAUAUUCAAAACGAAACUGCGUACUUGGGAUUGUAUUUUGCGAAAAUGUAACGUGUGCAUAAUAAGAUUCCUUAGUGAAUAGUUAAAAUGCCUGGACUGCAUAGUGAAGGUGGAGUGGUGGCUGCAGUUGGCAGUCAUGUGAAGAAGAGGAAACUCUCUCUAAAGUUCUUUCAGAAGAAGGACACCAAACGAGCCCUGGACUUCUCAGAGGCCCCGGCAGAAGACAACGGCACUGCAGAACCAGAAGAGACUACUAAUCAUGACCAGGUUGUGCCAAUGCCUUGCCCUUCAUCUCCUCUCACUUGUGAGAAGCGUGAGAGCCUGGUCCCCUUCGUUGGGCUUAAUAAUUUGGGGAACACUUGCUAUCUGAACAGCAUCCUUCAGGUAUACUGUUCA
This is a long non-coding RNA of Sinocyclocheilus anshuiensis, 505 nucleotides long. RefSeq lists it as uncharacterized. NCBI's taxonomy places the organism in Eukaryota, Metazoa, Chordata, Actinopteri, Cypriniformes, Cyprinidae. The transcript has 3 exons. The record is from RefSeq and is a predicted model, not a curated record.